ACUCCUACGGGAGGCAGCAGUGGGGAAUAUUGGACAAUGGGCCACAAGCCUGAUCCAGCAAUUCUGUGUGCACGAUGAAGGUCUUCGGAUUGUAAAGUGCUUUCAGUUGGGAAGAAGAAAGUGACGGUACUAACAGAAGAAGCGACGGCUAAAUACGUGCCAGCAGCCGCGGUAAUACA
Molecule: ribosomal RNA, 179 nt
Filed under: uncultured bacterium
Lineage: Bacteria
Description: partial 16S ribosomal RNA
Rfam family: Bacterial small subunit ribosomal RNA
Source: RNAcentral